UGCUGGAGGUGGAGCGUGGUGCACACACAGGGACUGUUGAAUUGGCGAGCAGAGGUUGGUCCUAAAUCCAUGCUCGACCGUGACAGACCAAUGACAAGAAUCCAUGUACACUGUGUCUGGAAUAGAGACUGCUGGACACUGCAGUCCGUGUGAAAUGAUGGUCUUACACGGUCAACAAGGUGGUCUCUCUCCGGAUUUUUCUGGAUUGCUUUUUUUCUAUUUUGUUUUAGGUUUUUCCAGGGUCCAGGUUGCUUUUUCUAGG
This 262-nucleotide long non-coding RNA is filed under the name Lupinus angustifolius (narrow-leaved blue lupine). RNAcentral's name for it is "long non-coding RNA (LANG_LNC000220)". The record is from RNAcentral. Lineage: Eukaryota; Viridiplantae; Streptophyta; Magnoliopsida; Fabales; Fabaceae.